GGCGUCGACCGGCGCACGGGUGAGUAACGCGUAUCCAACCUGCCCAUCACUUGGGGAUAACCUUGCGAAAGUAAGACUAAUACCCAAUGACGUCUCUAGAAGACAUCUGAAAGGGAUUAAAGAUUUAUCGGUGAUGGAUGGGGAUGCGUCUGAUUAGCUUGUUGGCGGGGUAACGGCCCACCAAGGCGACGAUCAGUAGGGGUUCUGAGAGGGAGGUCCCCCACAUUGGAACUGAGACACGGUCCAAACUCCUACGGGAGGCAGCAGUGAGGAAUAUUGGUCAAUGGACGAGAGUCUGAACCAGCCAAGUAGCGUGCAGGAUGACGGCCCUAUGGGUUGUAAACUGCUUUUAUAAGGGAAUAAAGUGAGUCUCGUGAGACUUUUUGCAUGUACCUUAUGAAUAAGGACCGGCUAAUUCCGUGCCAGCAGCCGCGGUAAUACGGAAGGUCCGGGCGUUAUCCGGAUUUAUUGGGUUUAAAGGGAGCGUAGGCCGGAGAUUAAGCGUGUUGUGAAAUGUAGACGCUCAACGUCUGCACUGCAGCGCGAACUGGUUUCCUUGAGUACGCACAAAGUGGGCGGAAUUCGUGGUGUAGCGGUGAAAUGCUUAGAUAUCACGAAGAACUCCGAUUGCGAAGGCAGCUCACUGGAGCGCAACUGACGCUGAAGCUCGAAAGUGCGGGUAUCGAACAGGAUUAGAUACCCUGGUAGUCCGCACGGUAAACGAUGGAUGCCCGCUGUUGGCCUGAACAGGUCAGCGGCCAAGCGAAAGCAUUAAGCAUCCCACCUGGGGAGUA
Molecule: ribosomal RNA, 794 nt
Filed under: uncultured bacterium
Lineage: Bacteria
Description: bacterial SSU rRNA
Rfam family: Bacterial small subunit ribosomal RNA
Source: RNAcentral